CGUAGGGUGCGAGCGUUAAUCGGAAUUACUGGGCGUAAAGCGUGCGCAGGCGGUUAUGUAAGACAGAUGUGAAAUCCCCGGGCUCAACCUGGGAACUGCGUUUGUGACUGCAUAACUAGAGUACGGCAGAGGGAGGUGGAAUUCCGCGUGUAGCAGUGAAAUGCGUAGAGAUGCGGAGGAACACCGAUGGCGAAGGCAGCCUCCUGGGCCAGUACUGACGCUCAUGCACGAAAGCGUGGGGAGCAAACAGGAUU
This 254-nucleotide ribosomal RNA is filed under the name uncultured bacterium. RNAcentral's name for it is "partial 16S ribosomal RNA". It matches the Rfam family "Bacterial small subunit ribosomal RNA", at positions 526 to 779 of the family's 1533-position model. The record is from RNAcentral.